RNAcentral lists this ribosomal RNA (325 nucleotides) under uncultured eukaryote. RNAcentral's name for it is "partial 18S ribosomal RNA". It matches the Rfam family "Eukaryotic small subunit ribosomal RNA", at positions 1470 to 1796 of the family's 1831-position model. The record is from RNAcentral.
CCCUUAGAUGUUCUGGGCCGCACGCGCGCUACACUGACUGCUCCAACAAGUUACCUGGGCUGACAAGCAUCCGGGAAAUCUUGCAAAGGCAGUCGUGAUGGGGAUAGAUUCUUGCAAUUUUUGAUCUUCAACGAGGAAUUCCUAGUAAACGCAAGUCAUCAGCUUGCAUUGAUUACGUCCCUGCCCUUUGUACACACCGCCCGUCGCAUCUACCGAUUGAAUGGAGAGGCAAAAUCUUCGGACCGUGACGCUUGGGAGUCAAAUCUCGGGCUGUCGUGGGAAGUGGAUUAAACCUUUCUAUUUAGAGGAAGGUAAAGUCGUAACA